UGAGGAAUAUUGGUCAAUGGGCGAGAGCCUGAACCAGCCACGUCGCGUGAAGGAAGACUGACCUUACGGUUUGUAAACUUCUUUUGUAGAGGGGUAAUGGCAGAUACGUGUAUUUGCGUGAAAGUACUCUACGAAUAAGCAUCGGCUAACUCCGUGCCAGCAGCCGCGGUAAUACGGGGGAUGCGAGCGUUAUCCGGAAUUAUUGGGUUUAAAGGGAGCGUAGGCUGUUUGUUAAGCGUGUUGUGAAAUGUAAGAGCUCAACUUUUAGAUUGCAGCGCGAACUGGCAGACUUGAGUGCGCACAACGUAGGCGGAAUUCAUGGUGUAGCGGUGAAAUGCUUAGAUAUCAUGACGAACUCCGAUUGCGAAGGCAGCUUACGGGAGCGCAACUGACGCUAAAGCUCGAAGGUGCGGGUAUCGAACAGG
RNAcentral lists this ribosomal RNA (425 nucleotides) under Verrucomicrobiota bacterium. Its description in RNAcentral is "Verrucomicrobia bacterium partial 16S ribosomal RNA". It matches the Rfam family "Bacterial small subunit ribosomal RNA", at positions 355 to 776 of the family's 1533-position model. The record is from RNAcentral. Lineage: Bacteria; Pseudomonadati; Verrucomicrobiota.